Molecule: long non-coding RNA, 1325 nt
Organism: Chelmon rostratus (copperband butterflyfish)
Lineage: Eukaryota; Metazoa; Chordata; Actinopteri; Chaetodontiformes; Chaetodontidae
Exons: 3
Source: RefSeq, a predicted model, not a curated record
UUCACCUUUUCGUAUUCUUCUCUCAACUCCAGGAUUGUGCUUUGGAGGUUGUGAAGGUGGUGCAUCCUUUCCUCUUUUUCAUCUUUCACUGAUGCAUACCUCACCUUCAUCUCUUGUUCAUCGCGAAGUUUCUCGGUCAAAUCCUGCUGCUGUCGUUCUUGGUUAGCGAUGAGUUGGCUCAAGGUUUGAUUCUCCUCCUGCAUUGUUUGAAUUUCCUUUUCCAAGUCGUUUUGCCUGGAGAUUUUCUGCUGGAGGUCCUGAACCGUUUGCUGCAGCUUCUUCCAUCGCCGGCUCACGAGUUUGUUUACGUUCAGUUUAAUCUUGUAUUCAUUCUCCAAAACUUGAUGGUCCUUCAUUUGCCCCUGUGCUCCAACAAUUUCUUGCUCGAGCCUGUGGUUGUUUUGGAUUAUGAUUUCCUUUUCUUUUUCAGCAGCCUGACAGUUUUCGUCCAAUUCUUUCUGGCGCUUGAGUUUACUCUGCAGGUUGCGUGAUUUCUUGCGAAGAUCUUCGUUUAAGUCACUCAUUGCUUUUUUCACAGCUUUAAGCCACUUAUAUCUCCCUUCAAGGUCUCGACCACGAGACUGUCCUCUGCGGUCGUCUUCUCGUUGAUCCAAGAACAUAUUGUGCAGCUCUGAGGCGUCUAUUUCCUCAGGAGCUACACAAAUGUUGUCGAGAAGAUUUUCCUUGUCCUCUUUACGUUUCAGCCACCGAUCCAUCUUAUCUUAAUUUGUCGUCUCUCUAUAUAAAAAUGAAAAAUAUCUAGAACUGAAUGAUAAUAGAUAGAUAGAAUAGCAGAGCAUGAGAAGUCAUAGCUGUUGAUGUGCUUUGAUCUGUGAAAGAGCAAGGGACGUCACAGUUCAAAGACAUUUCUUUGCUCCGCCCACAAAUCAGAUUGGGAAAAAAACCCUCCAGGUAGCCAUAGCAACAGAUAGCGCAGCCAAUCACUUCCGGUUUCCGCUCCAGUACGAAAAUAAACCCGGCAACGGGAGCGGGCCGCAGUGUUCACGUCUGAAGCCGCUUCAAGUGUCCCGGUCCGCUUCUGCUGCUCUCAAGUUUCACCCGCCGUCAUAAAGAGGCAACAGCCUGAAUCUCCAGCUGUACCCCCGGGGGGCCUCCACAGAUGAACCAGGACUGUGAAGCUGCAUCCCUGGUAGUGAAGCCUCCCUCACUGCUUUCAGCCACUCAGGGGACCCUUUUCACUGUGUCAACAUCUACAGCGUCAAGGUGCUCGGAAGGAAGCUCUUCCCCUCUUUUCAGCCGCCUGCUGUUUACUCUGGGUGUGGAUGAGCGCAGUGUCCCAGGGAUGGACCGAGUGGACAGCCUGG